GAGCGCGCCGGCGGAGCAAAGGGGGCGGUGCUCCCGCCGGCUCGCCGCCCGACCGCCCGGCGGAAAGGGCCGAGCGAUCCCGGAAGGAGCCGAAGCGACAAUGCGGGGGAAGAGAUAGAGUCUUCCUCUGUCGCCUAGGCUGGAGUGCAGUGGCGCGAUCUCGGCGCACCGCAACCUCUGCCUCCCGGGUUCAAGCGAAUUCUCCUGCCUCAGCCUCCGGAGUAGCUGGGAUUACAGAUGUGCUCCACCAUGCCCGGCUAAUUUUUGUAUUUUUAGUAGAGAUGGGGGGGUUUCACCAUGUUGGCCAGGCUGGUCUCGAACUCCUGACCUUGUGAUCCACUAGCUUCGGCCUCCCGAAGUUCUGGGAUUACAGGCAUGAGCCACCACACCCGGAUGAAUUAUGCCAUUUUUAAGGCAAAGGUAAGGAGAGGAAAUGUGAAUGGAACCGCUCCUGGGGGCUCACCCACCACAGGCCUUGUCUGGGAGGGCUAAUGAGGUCAUCAUGCCAAGGCACACCAGCUGGGAAGCUCUUCGCUAAGGAACUGCUAUCAAGCAUAGUUUGAAAACUACAGUGACAUGUCCAGUUCUUUUGUUUUACAGGUGGGGAUACUGAGGUUCAGAGCGGGUGAAGGACCUUCCCAAGGCCAAAAAACCUAAAAGUGAUUUGAGCCGGGGUCUCCUGACUCCGUCCCCAGUGUUCAUUCCAUUGUGUCUACCUUAUUUAUUUAUUUAUUUUUUUGAGACAGGGUCUUGCUCUGUCACCCAGGCUGGAGUGCAGUGGCAUGAUCACAGCUCGCUGCAGCCUCGACCUCCCAAGCUCAAGUGAUCUGCCCACCUUAGCCUCCUGAGUAGCUGGGACUACAGACAUGUGCCACCAUGCCUGAAAAAUUUAAAAAAAAAUUUUUUUUUUUUUUGAGACAGAGUCUUACUCUGUCGCCCAGGCUGGAGUGAUCUCGGCUCACUGCAGCCUCUGCCUCCUGGGUUCCAGCAAUUCUCCUGCCCCAGCCGCCUCUUGGGUAGCUGGGAUUACAGGCACACACCACCAUGCCCAGCUAAUUUUUGUAAUUUUAGUGGAGACAGGGUUUUGCCAUGUUGGCCAGGCUGGUAAGACGUGAGCCACCGCGCCUGGCCAAAAAAAUUUGUUUUAGACAUGGGGGUCUCACUAUGUUGCCCAGGCUGGUCUUGAACUCCUGGACUUAAACAAUCCUCCCACCUCAGCCUCCCAAAGUGUUGGGACUGCAGGCAUGAGCCACUAAGCACGGCCUAUUGUGUCUUUCAAAGAUUUUAAUACACUUUCACAUCUCUUGCUAGAUAAAAUAGGGUCAGUUAUUAGUACAUAAUUCCAAAAAAGGAAAUGACAGAAAAAGAAGUAAUAUUCCCAAGGUGUAGGUCAAGAAGACCAAAAGGAAUAAAUGCAUACCGCUCUAUACCUGGACUUGUAUACUAUCAUGAUUUACAUAGCUCAAGGCAGAGGAAAUUGAUCAUAUUGAACCAAUAUAUCAG
RNAcentral lists this long non-coding RNA (1503 nucleotides) under Homo sapiens (human). RNAcentral's name for it is "HSALNT0155750". Lineage: Eukaryota; Metazoa; Chordata; Mammalia; Primates; Hominidae. The record is from RNAcentral.